AUAAAACCGUAAAAGAGAAAGGCACCAAUGAUCUAAACCGUUUUCUUGGCUUGGUCAUUUCUAACGUUAAUUUAUUUAGUUCAGUAGUGUCCCUUCCAGCGAGCUUAAUGGUUAUCAUGUAACAAAGCUGUUGAAAUGUGGCGUGGCCCUGGCUGGUUAGGAAAAUGUAGAUUACCGAGUAGUAGUAGGUUAACGAAAAAUUGUGGAGUGGAUAGUGUACACAACGUUCCACGCCGAAGUUUUGAUAUUUCGUCAUAUCUAAAACUUGAUUGGAAUAAUGCAACAUACACAUAGAUUUCAACGCGGCCGAUCGUACAUACAUUCGCAUCGUGCCGCCGCCACCGAUAAAUCCGAUUUCUUACUGUGGCGCUGAAAAAUCAUCCAAAAUUGACGCCGCCACCAAAUGGAUUGGCAUUGGCCUUUGAUACAUAUUUGUGUGGCUGACUUAUGUGAUAGGAAACCACAAUGGGGUCGGAUGUCCAUAUUGAUUCGAAUUCAACUUGGCAAAUCAACCAUAACUCAGAUUUUUGGACACCACUUUCACCUGCUAAGAGUUUUAGCGUCCCUGCCGGCGAGCUUAACGGUCAUCAUGUAACAGAGCUGGCAAAAGGUUUGCGGCAUGGCGUGUCAAGAAAAUGAUCCUCUGUCGUGGUAAAAUUUGAAGAAGCUAACAGCAAAAUGAAGUUUCCACGAUGUUUCAAUAUUUGAUCAGGUCAAAAACUUGAUUGGAAUCGUGCAACAUUGUUGUAGGCAAAUUGCUGACUUACAUGUUCUCAAGUUUAUUUGGAUUGACAGGAAACCGGAAUGGAGUCUGAUCCGAGGUACAUGUUUAUUACAAAUUCAAAUUGGCCCAGCAGCAAUUACACCGACUUCUCGACAUCACCUUCAAAAAGUUUGUAAAGUGAUUGGAGUUCAUCUUUAAGUUAAUUGCUGCUCAGCAUCUUCAGGUUGAUUAUUAAUAAUAAUUUAGAUUAGAGGAUGGUUCAGUACUAGGAGCAAAUAAUUGUUUAUUUUCGUCCUUAAAAAACGCCCAUACUCUUACAUAUUUACUUACAAUCAGAUUCCAAUUAGUUGACAAAUAUGUAAGUUUAUUUUAUUAACGGAAAUGUAUUUAUUUAGAAAUUUUUGACAUAAAAUGUGACGGAGUUUUUUUUAAUCCGGUCUUGCGUAAAUGCGUAAUAUCAAAAA
This is a long non-coding RNA of Folsomia candida, 1188 nucleotides long. RefSeq lists it as uncharacterized. The record is from RefSeq and is a predicted model, not a curated record. Lineage: Eukaryota; Metazoa; Arthropoda; Collembola; Entomobryomorpha; Isotomidae. The transcript has 8 exons.